RNAcentral lists this unclassified non-coding RNA (396 nucleotides) under Camponotus floridanus (Florida carpenter ant). RNAcentral's name for it is "peptidyl-prolyl cis-trans isomerase, transcript variant X3". Lineage: Eukaryota; Metazoa; Arthropoda; Insecta; Hymenoptera; Formicidae. The record is from RNAcentral.
UAGUAUACCUAUUGGCGCGUAUUCAUACAUUGGCGCCUUUUUUGGCGCUAAAAACGGCGCCGUUUAUUUCCGAAUUCUCCUCUUCUCUUUGUGUACGUGGAAGCGCGAGGAUGGACGAGAGAUUCACGUUUAUUAAAUCAAUCUGCAAAUAUAUCACGGCUCAUGAGAAUAUAACAAGUGAUGAGGAUGAGCGCCUCGUACCACUCGAUACGUUCAUCUCGCAGAGUCAAGAUCAAGAGGAGAACCGUCACAGCGUAUGCCAGCGUAUCGCGCGACACGGGCCACCAUUCCAAAUUUAGCACCUAUAGAUACGAUAAGGAUUAAGUGUACAAGAAGAAGGAUAGAGAAAGAAUCGCAAAAUUGCAUGAAAAUGUAUACAACACACACGUACUUUAU